RNAcentral lists this ribosomal RNA (730 nucleotides) under uncultured Staphylococcus sp. RNAcentral's name for it is "bacterial SSU rRNA". It matches the Rfam family "Bacterial small subunit ribosomal RNA", at positions 63 to 779 of the family's 1533-position model. Lineage: Bacteria; Bacillati; Bacillota; Bacilli; Caryophanales; Staphylococcaceae. The record is from RNAcentral.
CGAACAGACGAGGAGCUUGCUCCUUUGACGUUAGCGGCGGACGGGUGAGUAACACGUAGGUAACCUACCUAUAAGACUGGGAUAACUUCGGGAAACCGGAGCUAAUACCGGAUAAUAUUUCGAACCGCAUGGUUCGAUAGUGAAAGAUGGCCUUGCUAUCACUUAUAGAUGGACCUGCGCCGUAUUAGCUAGUUGGUAAGGUAACGGCUUACCAAGGCAACGAUACGUAGCCGACCUGAGAGGGUGAUCGGCCACACUGGAACUGAGACACGGUCCAGACUCCUACGGGAGGCAGCAGUAGGGAAUCUUCCGCAAUGGGCGAAAGCCUGACGGAGCAACGCCGCGUGAGUGAUGAAGGUCUUCGGAUCGUAAAACUCUGUUAUUAGGGAAGAACAAACGUGUAAGUAACUGUGCACGUCUUGACGGUACCUAAUCAGAAAGCCACGGCUAACUACGUGCCAGCAGCCGCGGUAAUACGUAGGUGGCAAGCGUUAUCCGGAAUUAUUGGGCGUAAAGCGCGCGUAGGCGGUUUUUUAAGUCUGAUGUGAAAGCCCACGGCUCAACCGUGGAGGGUCAUUGGAAACUGGAAAACUUGAGUGCAGAAGAGGAAAGUGGAAUUCCAUGUGUAGCGGUGAAAUGCGCAGAGAUAUGGAGGAACACCAGUGGCGAAGGCGACUUUCUGGUCUGUAACUGACGCUGAUGUGCGAAAGCGUGGGGAUCAAACAGGAUU